RNAcentral lists this ribosomal RNA (323 nucleotides) under uncultured bacterium. RNAcentral's name for it is "bacterial SSU rRNA". It matches the Rfam family "Bacterial small subunit ribosomal RNA", at positions 28 to 334 of the family's 1533-position model. The record is from RNAcentral.
GAUGAACGCUGGCGGCGUGCUUAACACAUGCAAGUCGAACGAGAAUCAACGGAUUGAGGAUUCGUCCAAAUGAAGUUGAGGAAAGUGGCGGACGGGUGAGUAACGCGUGAGGAACCUGCCUCGGAGUGGGGAAUAACAGUUGGAAACAGCUGCUAAUACCGCAUAAUGCAACGGAAUCGCAUGACUCUGUUGCCAAAGAUUUAUCGCUCUGAGAUGGCCUCGCGUCUGAUUAGCUAGUUGGUGGGGUAACGGCCUACCAAGCCGACGAUCAGUAGCCGACCUGAGAGGGUGACCGGCCACAUUGGGACUGAGACACGGCCCAG